This 272-nucleotide unclassified non-coding RNA is filed under the name Hevea brasiliensis (rubber tree). Lineage: Eukaryota; Viridiplantae; Streptophyta; Magnoliopsida; Malpighiales; Euphorbiaceae. The record is from RNAcentral.
AAACAUCAUGCAAAGAUCUCAAGGAAUAUAUUUCAAAAAUAUAUUUGACAAAAUUCAAAACCAAGCUUUAGCAAAAGGAAAGACAAACAUAUCCCAUAUCUAUAUUUAUCUAUAGUUAUAAAAAUUCAAAUAAUAUCAGAAAAAUGAAUUUAAAUAGCAGCAAUAAGAUCCUAAGCAAAAAAAUGUUUAUUAGAUGGAACAAAGCGUCAUAACCUCUUUCUAUACAGCACAUGACUCACAAAUAAGUAGACAGAGACAAUACCAACCUUCAA